This 1664-nucleotide ribosomal RNA is filed under the name metagenome. RNAcentral's name for it is "bacterial LSU rRNA". It matches the Rfam family "Bacterial large subunit ribosomal RNA", at positions 1231 to 2925 of the family's 2925-position model. The record is from RNAcentral.
GAGGAGCAUUCUUAAGUCGACGAAGCUGUACUGUAAGGAGCAGUGGAGAGUUAAGAAGAGAGAAUGCCGGAAUGAGUAGCGAGAUUUAAGUGAGAAUCUUAAAGGCCGAAUAUCUAAGGUUUCCAGGGUAAAGCUGAUCUUCCCUGGGUAAGUCGGGGCCUAAGGCGAGGGCGAGAGCCGUAGUCGAUGGAUAACAGGUUGAAAUUCCUGUACUGCUUAUGGACAGAACUGUGGGGACGCAGAAGGAGAGCACGAGCCGGAAAUGGAAAAGCCGGUACAAGCGUAUAGCAAUCAUGCAGGCAAAACCGCAUGAAAAAUGUAGAGCGUUAUGUGGAUCGAACAUUAGUAGAGAAGCGUGUGAGCCAGCUGCCAAGAAAAGCCGCUAUUGUUUCAUAAGUACCCGUACCGUAAACCGACACAGGUGGAUGAGGAGAGAAUCCUAAGGCCGGCGGGAGAAGUGUUGUUAAGGAACUCGGCAAAAUGACUCCGUAACUUCGGGAGAAGGAGUGCCACAGAGAUGUGGCCGCAGAGAAAUGGCCCAAGCAACUGUUUAGCAAAAACACAGGUCUAUGCAAAACCGAAAGGUGAGGUAUAUGGGCUGACGCCUGCCCGGCGCUGGAAGGUUAAGAGGGGAGGUUAGAGCAAUCGAAGCUUUGAAUUUAAGCCCCAGUAAACGGCGGCCGUAACGAUAACGGUCCUAAGGUAGCGAAAUUCCUUGUCGGGUAAGUUCCGACCCGCACGAAAGGCGUAAUGAUUUGGGCACUGUCUCAACAACACACCCGGUGAAAUUGAAAUACCAGUGAAGAUGCUGGUUACCUGCGCCAGGACGGAAAGACCCCAUGGAGCUUUACUCCAGUUUGAUACUGGGAUUCGGUACUGUCUGUACAGGAUAGGUGGGAGGCUAGGAAGUGGUGACGCCAGUUGCCAUGGAGCCAACCUUGGGAUACCACCCUUACAGUACUGGGUUUCUAACCUGCAGCCGUAACCCGGCUGGGGGACAAUGUCUGACGGGGAGUUUGACUGGGGCGGUCGCCUCCGAAAGAGUAUCGGAGGCGCUCAAAGGUUCCCUCAGAACGGUUGGAAACCGUUCGAAGAGUGCAAAGGCAGAAGGGAGCUUGACUGCGACACCGACGGGUGGAGCAGAUACGAAAGUAGGACUUAGUGAUCCGGUGGUAUAAAGUGGGAUUGCCAUCGCUCAACGGAUAAAAGCUACCCUGGGAUAACAGGCUUAUCACUCCCAAGAGUUCACAUCGACGGAGUGGUUUGGCACCUCGAUGUCGGCUCAUCGCAUCCUGGAGCUGUAGCAGGUUCCAAGGGUUGGGCUGUUCGCCCAUUAAAGCGGUACGCGAGCUGGGUUCAGAACGUCGUGAGACAGUUCGGUCCCUAUCCGGCGUGGGCGUAGGAUAUUUGAGAGGAGCUGUCCUUAGUACGAGAGGACCGGGAUGGACAAACCUCUGGUGUAUCUGUUGUUUUACCAAAGGCAUGGCAGAGUAGCCAAGUUUGGCAGGGAUAAACGCUGAAGGUAUCUAAGCGUGAAGCCCCCCUCAAGAUAAGAUAUCCCAUCUUCGGAGUAAGACCCCUUGAAGACUACAAGGUUGAUAGGCUUCAGGUGUAAGUGCGGUAACGCACUCAGCUGAGAAGUACUAAUAGGUCGAGGACUUACC